Molecule: ribosomal RNA, 2906 nt
Filed under: Escherichia coli
Lineage: Bacteria; Pseudomonadati; Pseudomonadota; Gammaproteobacteria; Enterobacterales; Enterobacteriaceae
Description: 23S ribosomal RNA
Rfam family: Bacterial large subunit ribosomal RNA
Source: RNAcentral
GGUUAAGCGACUAAGCGUACACGGUGGAUGCCCUGGCAGUCAGAGGCGAUGAAGGACGUGCUAAUCUGCGAUAAGCGUCGGUAAGGUGAUAUGAACCGUUAUAACCGGCGAUUUCCGAAUGGGGAAACCCAGUGUGAUUCGUCACACUAUCAUUAACUGAAUCCAUAGGUUAAUGAGGCGAACCGGGGGAACUGAAACAUCUAAGUACCCCGAGGAAAAGAAAUCAACCGAGAUUCCCCCAGUAGCGGCGAGCGAACGGGGAGCAGCCCAGAGCCUGAAUCAGUGUGUGUGUUAGUGGAAGCGUCUGGAAAGGCGUGCGAUACAGGGUGACAGCCCCGUACACAAAAAUGCACAUACUGUGAGCUCGAUGAGUAGGGCGGGACACGUGGUAUCCUGUCUGAAUAUGGGGGGACCAUCCUCCAAGGCUAAAUACUCCUGACUGACCGAUAGUGAACCAGUACCGUGAGGGAAAGGCGAAAAGAACCCCGGCGAGGGGAGUGAAAAAGAACCUGAAACCGUGUACGUACAAGCAGUGGGAGCACAGAGCAAUCUGUGUGACUGCGUACCUUUUGUAUAAUGGGUCAGCGACUUAUAUUCUGUAGCAAGGUUAACCGAAUAGGGGAGCCGAAGGGAAACCGAGUCUUAACUGGGCGUUAAGUUGCAGGGUAUAGACCCGAAACCCGGUGAUCUAGCCAUGGGCAGGUUGAAGGUUGGGUAACACUAACUGGAGGACCGAACCGACUAAUGUUGAAAAAUUAGCGGAUGACUUGUGGCUGGGGGUGAAAGGCCAAUCAAACCGGGAGAUAGCUGGUUCUCCCCGAAAGCUAUUUAGGUAGCGCCUCGUGAAUUCAUCUCCGGGGGUAGAGCACUGUUUCGGCAAGGGGGUCAUCCCGACUUACCAACCCGAUGCAAACUGCGAAUACCGGAGAAUGUUAUCACGGGAGACACACGGCGGGUGCUAACGUCCGUCGUGAAGAGGGAAACAACCCAGACCGCCAGCUAAGGUCCCAAAGUCAUGGUUAAGUGGGAAACGAUGUGGGAAGGCCCAGACAGCCAGGAUGUUGGCUUAGAAGCAGCCAUCAUUUAAAGAAAGCGUAAUAGCUCACUGGUCGAGUCGGCCUGCGCGGAAGAUGUAACGGGGCUAAACCAUGCACCGAAGCUGCGGCAGCGACGCUUAUGCGUUGUUGGGUAGGGGAGCGUUCUGUAAGCCUGCGAAGGUGUGCUGUGAGGCAUGCUGGAGGUAUCAGAAGUGCGAAUGCUGACAUAAGUAACGAUAAAGCGGGUGAAAAGCCCGCUCGCCGGAAGACCAAGGGUUCCUGUCCAACGUUAAUCGGGGCAGGGUGAGUCGACCCCUAAGGCGAGGCCGAAAGGCGUAGUCGAUGGGAAACAGGUUAAUAUUCCUGUACUUGGUGUUACUGCGAAGGGGGGACGGAGAAGGCUAUGUUGGCCGGGCGACGGUUGUCCCGGUUUAAGCGUGUAGGCUGGUUUUCCAGGCAAAUCCGGAAAACUAAGGCUGAGGCGUGAUGACGAGGCACUACGGUGCUGAAGCAACAAAUGCCCUGCUUCCAGGAAAAGCCUCUAAGCAUCAGGUAACAUCAAAUCGUACCCCAAACCGACACAGGUGGUCAGGUAGAGAAUACCAAGGCGCUUGAGAGAACUCGGGUGAAGGAACUAGGCAAAAUGGUGCCGUAACUUCGGGAGAAGGCACGCUGAUAUGUAGGUGAAGCGACUUGCUCGUGGAGCUGAAAUCAGUCGAAGAUACCAGCUGGCUGCAACUGUUUAUUAAAAACACAGCACUGUGCAAACACGAAAGUGGACGUAUACGGUGUGACGCCUGCCCGGUGCCGGAAGGUUAAUUGAUGGGGUCAGCGCAAGCGAAGCUCUUGAUCGAAGCCCCGGUAAACGGCGGCCGUAACUAUAACGGUCCUAAGGUAGCGAAAUUCCUUGUCGGGUAAGUUCCGACCUGCACGAAUGGCGUAAUGAUGGCCAGGCUGUCUCCACCCGAGACUCAGUGAAAUUGAACUCGCUGUGAAGAUGCAGUGUACCCGCGGCAAGACGGAAAGACCCCGUGAACCUUUACUAUAGCUUGACACUGAACAUUGAGCCUUGAUGUGUAGGAUAGGUGGGAGGCUUUGAAGUGUGGACGCCAGUCUGCAUGGAGCCGACCUUGAAAUACCACCCUUUAAUGUUUGAUGUUCUAACGUUGACCCGUAAUCCGGGUUGCGGACAGUGUCUGGUGGGUAGUUUGACUGGGGCGGUCUCCUCCUAAAGAGUAACGGAGGAGCACGAAGGUUGGCUAAUCCUGGUCGGACAUCAGGAGGUUAGUGCAAUGGCAUAAGCCAGCUUGACUGCGAGCGUGACGGCGCGAGCAGGUGCGAAAGCAGGUCAUAGUGAUCCGGUGGUUCUGAAUGGAAGGGCCAUCGCUCAACGGAUAAAAGGUACUCCGGGGAUAACAGGCUGAUACCGCCCAAGAGUUCAUAUCGACGGCGGUGUUUGGCACCUCGAUGUCGGCUCAUCACAUCCUGGGGCUGAAGUAGGUCCCAAGGGUAUGGCUGUUCGCCAUUUAAAGUGGUACGCGAGCUGGGUUUAGAACGUCGUGAGACAGUUCGGUCCCUAUCUGCCGUGGGCGCUGGAGAACUGAGGGGGGCUGCUCCUAGUACGAGAGGACCGGAGUGGACGCAUCACUGGUGUUCGGGUUGUCAUGCCAAUGGCACUGCCCGGUAGCUAAAUGCGGAAGAGAUAAGUGCUGAAAGCAUCUAAGCACGAAACUUGCCCCGAGAUGAGUUCUCCCUGACUCCUUGAGAGUCCUGAAGGAACGUUGAAGACGACGACGUUGAUAGGCCGGGUGUGUAAGCGCAGCGAUGCGUUGAGCUAACCGGUACUAAUGAACCGUGAGGCUUAACCUU